Molecule: long non-coding RNA, 565 nt
Filed under: Vigna radiata
Lineage: Eukaryota; Viridiplantae; Streptophyta; Magnoliopsida; Fabales; Fabaceae
Description: long non-coding RNA (VRAD_LNC010736)
Source: RNAcentral
AUUUUGGGUCGAGAAGCCAUAGAAAACUCAAAAGAUCGUCACUCUUCUUGUGAGGAAACCAGCAAAGGGAGAAUGUUACACUAUGUUACCCAAAGAAAGGAUCAAAACUGCACUAAAACACAACACAAAGAAAGCCAAAUUUUAAUUAGUUGAACGACAAGAUAAUCGAUAAAAAACUAAAGAAAGUUUAAACGGUAAAGCAUAAAAAAAAAACCACGCACCUAGGAUGUAAGAGAGAAAAAGGAGAGGACGAAGUCAAUGACGUUAUGAGAAACCACAAUGCAAUGCUGCAAGAGAUAAAAAGUAGAGGUGCGCAAGCGAGUAAAAGAAGAGGAGAAGCAGAGAAAAAAAAGAAGAGAUGAAGACACGAUCAGAAACUGAAUGGCGAUAAGAGUCUGCGGUCUAUUUAAAAUGAAAUGGGGCGUCGGUUGCUCCAGAAACCGACGUCUAUAGAUGUCGGUGUUUCAGGGGAUUCGACGUCUAUUAUACGUCAAAGAAGCUGAAAAGAUUGACGUUGAUUCCCUGUCAGGGUAGUUCACGUCGGUGCCCCUCCCAGCCGACGUCU